This 409-nucleotide ribosomal RNA is filed under the name uncultured bacterium. RNAcentral's name for it is "bacterial SSU rRNA". It matches the Rfam family "Bacterial small subunit ribosomal RNA", at positions 505 to 916 of the family's 1533-position model. The record is from RNAcentral.
GUGCCAGCCGCCGCGGUAAUACGGAGGGUGCAAGCGUUAUCCGGAUUCAUUGGGUUUAAAGGGUGCGCAGGCGGAUACUUAAGUCAGUGGUGAAAUCCCGGGGCUCAACCCCGGAACUGCCAUUGAUACUGAAUAUCUGGAAUACGGUUGAAGUGGGCGGAAUGUAGCAUGUAGCGGUGAAAUGCGUAGAGAUGCUACAGAACACCGAUCGCGAAGGCAGCUCACUAAGCCGAUAUUGACGCUCAGGCACGAAAGCGUGGGGAGCGAACAGGAUUAGAUACCCUGGUAGUCCACGCCGUAAACGAUGAUAACUCGUUGUUGGCGACACACAGUCAGCGACUAAGCGAAAGCGAUAAGUUAUCCACCUGGGGAGUACGAUCGCAAGGUUGAAACUCAAAUGAAUUGGCGG